This 497-nucleotide ribosomal RNA is filed under the name uncultured bacterium. Its description in RNAcentral is "partial 16S ribosomal RNA". It matches the Rfam family "Bacterial small subunit ribosomal RNA", at positions 28 to 507 of the family's 1533-position model. The record is from RNAcentral.
GACGAACGCUGGCGGCGUGCCUAAUACAUGCCAGUAGAACGCUGAAGAGAGGAGCUUGCUCUUCUUGGAUGAGUUGCGAACGGGUGAGUAACGCGUAGGUAACCUGCCUUGUAGCGGGGGAUAACUAUUGGAAACGAUAGCUAAUACCGCAUAACAAUGGAUGACACAUGUCAUUUAUUUGAAAGGGGCAAUUGUUGCACUACAAGAUGGACCUGCGUUGUAUUAGCUAGGAGGUGAGGUAAAGGCUCACCUAGGGGAGGAUACAUAGCCGACCUGAGAGGGUGGUCAGCCACACUGGGAGGGAGACACGGCCCAGACUCCUACGGGAGGCAGCAGUAGGGAAUCUUCGGCAAUGGGGGCAACACUGACCGAGAAACGCCGCGUGAGUGAAGAAGGUUUUCGGAUCGUAAAGCUCUGUUGUAAGGCAAGAAAGGGGGUGAGAGUGGAAAGUUCACACUGUGACGGUAGCUUACCAGAAAGGGACGGCUAACUACGUG